Oncorhynchus keta (chum salmon) is the source of this 1407-nucleotide long non-coding RNA. RefSeq lists it as uncharacterized. The transcript has 5 exons. The record is from RefSeq and is a predicted model, not a curated record. NCBI's taxonomy places the organism in Eukaryota, Metazoa, Chordata, Actinopteri, Salmoniformes, Salmonidae.
GAGAGGUGGAGGGGUCUAUAAGGUCUGGUCUUUCUGCAGGUCUGAGAUGUGGAGGGGUCUAUAAGGUCUGGUCUUUCUGCAGGGCUGAGAGGUGGAGGGGUCUAUAUGGUCUGAGAGGUGGAGGGGUCUAUAUGGUCUGGUCUUUCUGCAGGGCUGAGAGGUGGAGGGGUCUAUAAGGUCUGGUCUUUCUGCAGGGCUGAGAUGUGGAGGGGUCUAUAAGGUCUGGUCUUUCUGCAGGGCUGAGAUGUGGAGGGGUCUAUAAGGUCUGGUCUUUCUGCAGGGCUGAGAUGUGGAGGGGUCUAUAAGGUCUGGUCUUUCUGCAGGGCUGAGAUGUGGAGGGGUCUAUAUGGUCUGAGAGGUGGAGGGGUCUAUAAGGUCUGGUCUUUCUGCAGGGCUGAGAGGUGGAGGGGUCUAUAAGGUCUGGUCUUUCUGCAGGGCUGAGAUGUGGAGGGGUCUAUAAGGGCUGGUCUUUCUGCAGGGCUGAGAUGUGGAGGGGUCUAUACGGUCUGGUCUUUCGGCAGGGCUGAGAUGUGGAGGGGUCUAUAUGGUCUGGUCUUUCUGCAGGGCUGAGAGGUGGAGGGGUCUAUAUGGUCUGAGAUGUGGAGGGGUCUAUAAGGUCUGGUCUUUCUGCAGGGCUGAGAUGUGGAGGGGUCUAUAAGGGCUGGUCUUUCGGCAGGGCUGAGAUGUGGAGGGGUCUAUAAGGUCUGGUCUUUCUGCAGGGCUGAGAUGUGGAGGGGUCUAUAAGGUCUGGUCUUUCUGCAGGGCUGAGAUGUGGAGGGGUCUAUAUGGUCUGAGAGGUGGAGGGGUCUAUAUGGUCUGGUCUUUCUGCAGGGCUGAGAUGUGGAGGGGUCUAUAUGGUCUGAGAUGUGGAGGGGUCUAUAAGGUCUGGUCUUUCUGCAGGGCUGAGAGGUGGAGGGGUCUAUAUGGUCUGAGAGGUGGAGGGGUCUAUAUGGUCUGGUCUUUCUGCAGGGCUGAGAUGUGGAGGGGUCUAUAUGGUCUGGUCUUUCUGCAGGGCUGAGAGGUGGAGGGGUCUAUAUGGUCUGAGAUGUGGAGGGGUCUAUAAGGUCUGGUCUUUCUGCAGGGCUGAGAUGUGGAGGGGUCUAUAUGGUCUGAGAUGUGGAGGGGUCUAUAAGGUCUGGUCUUUCUGCAGGGCUGAGAUGUGGAGGGGUCUAUAAGGUCUGGUCUUUCUGCAGGGCUGAGAUGUGGAGGGGUCUAUAAGGUCUGGUCUUUCUGCAGGGCUGAGAUGUGGAGGGGUCUAUAUGGUCUGAGAGGUGGAGGGGUCUAUAAGGUCUGGUCUUUCUGCAGGGCUGAGAUGUGGAGGGGUCUAUAAGGUCUGGUCUUUGUGCAGGGCUGAGAUGUGGAGGGGUCUAUAUGGUCUGAGAGGUGGAGGGGUCUAUAAGGUCUGGU